This 222-nucleotide ribosomal RNA is filed under the name uncultured bacterium. RNAcentral describes it as "partial 16S ribosomal RNA". It matches the Rfam family "Bacterial small subunit ribosomal RNA", at positions 524 to 742 of the family's 1533-position model. The record is from RNAcentral.
UACGUAGGGUGCAAGCGUUGUCCGGAAUUAUUGGGCGUAAAGAGCUCGUAGGCGGCCUGUUACGUCUGCUGUGAAAUCCCGGGGCUUAACCCCGGGCGUGCAGUGGAUACGGGCAGGCUGGAGGCAGGCAGGGGGAGAACGGAAUUCCCGGUGUAGCGGUGAAAUGCGCAGAGUAUCGGGAGGAACACCGGUGGCGAAGGCGGGUUCCUCUGGGCCUGACUG